RNAcentral lists this ribosomal RNA (491 nucleotides) under uncultured bacterium. RNAcentral describes it as "partial 16S ribosomal RNA". It matches the Rfam family "Bacterial small subunit ribosomal RNA", at positions 29 to 506 of the family's 1533-position model. The record is from RNAcentral.
AGUGAACGCUGGCGGUAGGCCUAACACAUGCAAGUCGAACGGCAGCACAGUAAGAGCUUGCUCUUACGGGUGGCGAGUGGCGGACGGGUGAGGAAUACAUCGGAAUCUACUUUUUCGUGGGGGAUAACGUAGGGAAACUUACGCUAAUACCGCAUACGACCUACGGGUGAAAGCAGGGGAUCUUCGGACCUUGCGCGAUUGAAUGAGCCGAUGUCGGAUUAGCUAGUUGGCGGGGUAAAGGCCCACCAAGGCGACGAUCCGUAGCUGGUCUGAGAGGAUGAUCAGCCACACUGGAACUGAGACGCGGUCCAGACUCCUACGGGAGGCAGCAGUGGGGAAUAUUGGACAAUGGGCGCAAGCCUGAUCCAGCCAUACCGCGUGGGUGAAGAAGGCCUUCGGGUUGUAAAGCCCUUUUGUUGGGAAAGAAAAGCAGCAGGUUAAGACCCCGCUGUUCUGACGGUACCCAAAGAAUAAGCACCGGCUAACUUCGU